This 407-nucleotide ribosomal RNA is filed under the name uncultured bacterium. RNAcentral describes it as "partial 16S ribosomal RNA". It matches the Rfam family "Bacterial small subunit ribosomal RNA", at positions 30 to 526 of the family's 1533-position model. The record is from RNAcentral.
AUUGAACGCUGGCGGCAGGCCUAACACAUGCAAGUCGAGCGGAGCGGGGGACGGGGGAGUAAUGGCUAGGAAUCUGCCUGGUCGUGGGGGAUAACGUCCGGAAACGGGCGCUAAUACCGCAUACUAUCAGAUGAGCCUAGGUCGGAUUAGCUAGUUGGUGGGGUAAAGGCAUACCAAGGCGACGAGCCGUAACUGGUCUGGGAGGAUGAUCAGUCACACUGGAACUGAGACACGGUCCAGACUCCUACGGGAGGCAGCAGUGGGGAAUAUUGGACAAUGGGCGAAAGCCUGAUCCAGCCAUGCCGCGUGUAUGAAGAAGGUCUUCGGAUUGUAAAGCACUUUAAGUUGGGAGGCGUUACCCGCAGAAUAAGCACCGGCUAACUUCGUGCCAGCAGCCGCGGUAAUUC